Molecule: ribosomal RNA, 402 nt
Filed under: Triticum aestivum (bread wheat)
Lineage: Eukaryota; Viridiplantae; Streptophyta; Magnoliopsida; Poales; Poaceae
Description: partial small subunit ribosomal RNA
Source: RNAcentral
AUGAUUAUUCGUUCGCUGGAACCAGAAGUAAUUUUUUGUGUGGAUAGGGGUCCUAUAAAAACAUCUUUUGGGGAAUGGGCCAGACCCGGCCAUUUCUCAAGAACACUAGCUGAGGGCCCUGAUACUACCACUUGGAUCUGGAACCUACAUGCUCAUGCUCACGAUUUUGAUAGUCAUACUGGUGAUUUGGUGGAGAUUUCUCGAAAAGUCUUUAGUGCUCAUUUCGGGCAACUUUCCAUUAUCUUUCUUUGGUUGAGUGGCAUGUACUUUCAUGGCGCCCGUUUUUCCAAUUAUGAAGCAUGGCUAAGUGAUCCUAUUCACAUUGGACCCCGUGCCCAGGUAGUUUGGCCUAUAGUAGGGCAAGAAAUACUGAGUGGUGAUGUAGGCGGGGGUUUCCGAUGA